CUGGAGGAAAGACAAAGGGAAAACUGGAGGCAGCCGAUACAAAUUAGCACAGAGUUGGCUACAUAAGGAGCUUAAAUUGUCAUCUUUUUAUGUUGUUGGAUGCCAGAAUCAACAGAGUAAAGGGUCCAAUUUAAAAUUUUAUCGCAUAGCUGCUGCCACUGACAGACAAAAAAAACGACGACAGCUGUGGUUAAACGCAGUAAAAGGACAGAGCAGAAACGAUCAUCAGACGAUCAACAAUCAUCAGGACAGAAAUGAUCAUCAAAAAUGCUAGCAUUUGCAGCACACACUUCAUAUCAGGAGCCUGAGCUACUGAGUUGUCCACCUGUCACCUGACCUCCUCAGACAGGAAGAGAAACAAAACAGGUUAUGAGUAAGAAGCCUGAAACAAUGUGAGUACAGGACAGAACUUUGGCUCCCACGAGCAUACAUUACCCAGCAUUCUUAGGUCACCUCACUCCUUCAGACUGGUAGAGCAUCAUCUAUCACAACAGCACAUCCUAUCACGAGUCCUUGUGU
Molecule: long non-coding RNA, 519 nt
Organism: Ictalurus punctatus (channel catfish)
Lineage: Eukaryota; Metazoa; Chordata; Actinopteri; Siluriformes; Ictaluridae
Source: Ensembl